Molecule: transfer RNA, 64 nt
Filed under: Macropanesthia sp. B115
Lineage: Eukaryota; Metazoa; Arthropoda; Insecta; Blattodea; Blaberidae
Description: tRNA-Leu
Source: RNAcentral
UCUGAUAUGGCAGAUAAGUGCAAUGGAUUUAAGCUCCAUAUAUGAAGUUUUUCUUUUGUUAGAA